Molecule: small RNA, 188 nt
Filed under: Streptomyces autolyticus
Lineage: Bacteria; Bacillati; Actinomycetota; Actinomycetes; Kitasatosporales; Streptomycetaceae
Description: c-di-AMP sequence
Rfam family: c-di-AMP riboswitch aptamer (ydaO/yuaA leader)
About the family: This family represents a conserved RNA structure found upstream of the ydaO and yuaA genes in Bacillus subtilis and related genes in other bacteria. The ydaO/yuaA element is thought to act as a genetic "off" switch for the ydaO and yuaA genes in its native state.
Source: RNAcentral
GGGUGGCCUCCGCCGAGUCCGGUAUCGCCGUGAGGCGCCCGGAGCCGGGGACCCAACAACGCAAGACCGGGGUGAAUCGGCCGGAAACGGUGCGGCACGGACAGUGCCGCCCGGAGACGGCCGUAGGGCAGCCUUCCGAACCGCCCGAACCCGACAGCUAACCCGGUAGGCGGUCCACGGAAGGAGUC